RNAcentral lists this ribosomal RNA (253 nucleotides) under uncultured bacterium. RNAcentral's name for it is "partial 16S ribosomal RNA". It matches the Rfam family "Bacterial small subunit ribosomal RNA", at positions 524 to 776 of the family's 1533-position model. The record is from RNAcentral.
GACGUAGGGUGCAAGCGUUGUCCGGAUUUAUUGGGCGUAAAGAGCUCGUAGGCGGCUUGUUGCGUCUGCUGUGAAAACCCGAGGCUCAACCUCGGGCCUGCAGUGGGUACGGGCAGACUAGAGUGCGGUAGGGGAGAUUGGAAUUCCUGGUGUAGCGGUGGAAUGCGCAGAUAUCAGGAGGAACACCAAUGGCGAAGGCAGAUCUCUGGGCCGUAACUGACGCUGAGGAGCGAAAGCAUGGGGAGCGAACAGG